UUUCUGUCUCUCUCUCACCUAGGUGACUGUGUGAGUUUGGGGAAACAGAACCUUUAAGGGUGGGAAUGAAACUAUGAGCCCUCUGAUCAGAAGGGAUGGGAGGAACAAACAGCUGUAAUUUGGGUAUUCACCUUUUGGUUAUAUAGGUACCAGGCCUGUCCACAUGGCAAGACAUGGACUAGGACAGGUCAUAUGUAACUGAUUAAUUUGGACACUUAUAAAGAGUAGCAUAUGGUUUCAGUGAUUCAGUUUUAGAGAUUGUGAUCCUUGAUGUUAAAGGGAGGCAGAAGGAAGUUCUCUAACAUUAGGCUUCAACUGUAAAAAGCAGUUCUUUAUAAUACAGAUGCCUUACUUUAGGAAAUAAGACACAGAGCUUUCCCUCACAACAAUCACAUCACCACAAGCUCUAGUCCUCAUCCUUUUAUAUGAGGCUUUCAAGUGUGCCCCUUGAGUAGUUGGCCCUCUAUGGCUGGAAAAGAAACAGGUGCUUUCCUAGCACAGCCAGUUUAGGACUGAUUGGAUUAAAGGAAGCUUUCUCUUGCAGCUGUGAAGAGUUUCCAUCCUCUUAUGUUUUUGGCUUCACCUGCUAUCUGAGGAGAUGGUGCAAACAUGCUAAUACAUACUCUACUCAGAUGAAUUGCUUCACCUAGUACUGAUGUGCAGGUGAAACAUGUCAGCUGUUUAACUGUGUUCUGCAAGAAGUGGAGAAAAGUUUGCAUGUCCAUUACACCGUGCAAAGAAACAGUAAGAACCCAGAAUUGAAUUUGGUUAGGAAUGGAGAGGUUUUUUUUAUAGAUGGAAUGUAAGCAAGCAAAACAACGUUAUGAUAUCUAAACGAUUGAUGAAAACCCCUGAAAGAAAAAGGAGAUUGGAUUUAUCCUUCAUGGAAAGAUAUGUUCAAGGUGAGCAUACUGUGAAUUGAAGGCAGUGUGGAGACAGAGUAGGAAUGGCGCACAAAGAAGGUAUCAAGGUUUUGCUCUGCCAACACCACACUGUCUCUGGGAAGAGGUCACCACCAUGCUGCUCCGAGAGGGUGCUUCCCCAAACACAUAAGUGACCGAUCAGCUGCCUACCUCUCUGGUGGUUUUUACCAUUGUCUCUCCUGUUGUGUAGGCUCUUCUAGUCCUCCGGUGUAUCCUUGCUGAAGGUCCUCUCAAUACUGGCUCUGUUGCAUUCCAUUGUCUGUGCCCUGCCGAAGGAUGAACUCCCGGCAAAUCUGCCUUUUAUCCAUGGCCUGGUUCUCAGGCAGCAAUUGAGUUUAACCCACUUCUGGUGUUUCAUUGUUUUGGCGUUUCCCAGGUGUUCGCUAUUGGUGGACUUCCCUUUAGUAACAGGUAUGCCUAGCUCCCUAUUACAGUUAGAUAUACACCUGCAUCUUUAAAAUACCAUCUGUUGUAUGGGAGUUUCAUACUUUGGAGGAUAAAACUGAUUGACUUGAAAUUUGAAUUCCUGAUUCAGAAACAAGUGGAGGCUUCUUUUGCACAGGAUAGAUAGAAUUUCAAAGAUCUAGAAUUGGACUGCGCAAACUUGAAUUCCAUCUUUCUGUUCCCUGCAAUGUUCUAAUGUGUCUAUGUGGAGUUACAGCAGGAUGUGUCAUUCUUAAUAUGAGGCACAAGCUAAGCAUGAACUACUCUAUGGUGCUUGGGUUACAGAAAAGCCUUUAAAAUAAUUAUUGCUUGAGAUACUGGCUCCAUGGAAAAUGAAUGACAGAUAGUCAAAGGUUGUCAAAAUCUUUACAUCAAUCUUGCUAAUAUCCAACACACACACAUCUAUCCAGGUGAAAUUUCUACUGAAACCAUGGAUAGUUUAUUUGAGUGUAAGCCAUGGAAGAGAAACCUUCAUAACAUUUUAGACUUGCAUAGGAAGUUGGGGAGAGAUUCUACCUCUUUUGUUUCUCAAAAUUUGAUCAGGACAGAGCAAAAAAAUGGAGUAGAAAACAUGAAGGAAUCAGAUCUUGCAUUUUAAAGUAGAAAGUCAUUUUGUCUGGAUCUCUU
Alligator mississippiensis (American alligator) is the source of this 1994-nucleotide RNA transcript. RefSeq lists it as uncharacterized. Lineage: Eukaryota; Metazoa; Chordata; Crocodylia; Alligatoridae. The record is from RefSeq and is a predicted model, not a curated record. The transcript has 4 exons.